This 399-nucleotide ribosomal RNA is filed under the name uncultured bacterium. Its description in RNAcentral is "partial 16S ribosomal RNA". It matches the Rfam family "Bacterial small subunit ribosomal RNA", at positions 338 to 734 of the family's 1533-position model. The record is from RNAcentral.
CCUACGGGUGGCAGCAGUGAGGAAUAUUGGUCAAUGGGCGCGAGCCUGAACCAGCCAAGCCGCGUGAAGGAUGACUGCCCUACGGGUUGUAAACUUCUUUUGUCGAGGAAUAAAGUGAGGCACGUGUGCCCUUUUGUAUGUACUUUAUGAAUAAGCAUCGGCUAACUCCGUGCCAGCAGCCGCGGUAAUACGGAGGAUCCGAGCGUUAGCCGGAUUUAUUUGGGUUAAAGGGAGCGUAGAUGGGUUGUUAAGUCAGUUGUGAAAGUUUGGGGCUCAACCGUAAAAUUGCAAUUGAUACUGGCAGUCUAGAGUACAGUUGAGGUAGGCGGAAUUCGUGGUGUAGCGGUGAAAUGCGUAGAUAUCACGAAGAACUCCGAUUGCGAAGGCAGCUUACUAAAC